This is a long non-coding RNA of Nothoprocta perdicaria, 446 nucleotides long. RefSeq lists it as uncharacterized. Lineage: Eukaryota; Metazoa; Chordata; Aves; Tinamiformes; Tinamidae. The record is from RefSeq and is a predicted model, not a curated record. The transcript is spliced from 2 exons.
UUUUUUUUUUUAACAUUCUGCAAUCAGCCAGAAGAAGGCAGCAUCAGGAAUCUUUCUGAUUUGAAGCCAAAGGCAAGAAAAAAGGCUUUGACCUUCCUGGAUUCUGAAGUCUCGUCAGUGCUUAGCGUCCUGGUUGCUUCAAUUCAACCUUUCUUCARUUUUAAAAUGAACUCUCUGAAAUUAAAACAGCUACAGGGAUGGGGUUCAGGAGUUUUCAUAAAAGCUGGCACUUCAAAACCCCUGCCCACAAAAGAGCACUUUUCUUCUAACUUAUUUUGAAGACUCAGUAUCAAAUACUAUCACAUUUGUAAAUCUGACUUAACUUGGUGGAAUUAUUCCAGCUUUCUACUAGGAUCAUAGAAAGAAAAAUAUCAUCUCUCUGCCUUAUUCAUCCACUGAUAAUCAAUUAUCUUCUAUUCUUAACAAAAUAAACAUAUUAAAAGCUA